UACGUAGGAUGCAAGCGUUAUCCGGAUUUAUUGGGUUUAAAGGGUGCGCAGGUUGUUUGAUAAGUCAGUGGUGAAAGUCUGUCGCUUAACGGUAGGAUUGCCAUUGAUACUGUUGGACUUGAAUAUGGAUGAGGUAGGCGGAAUGUGUAGUGUAGCGGUGAAAUGCAUAGAUAUUACACAGAACACCGAUUGCGAAGGCAGCUUACUAAUCCAUCAUUGACGCUGAGGCACGAAAGCGUGGGGAUCAAACAGGA
This 254-nucleotide ribosomal RNA is filed under the name uncultured prokaryote. Its description in RNAcentral is "partial 16S ribosomal RNA". It matches the Rfam family "Bacterial small subunit ribosomal RNA", at positions 524 to 777 of the family's 1533-position model. The record is from RNAcentral.